Molecule: transfer RNA, 66 nt
Filed under: Silvanidae sp. KM-2017
Lineage: Eukaryota; Metazoa; Arthropoda; Insecta; Coleoptera; Silvanidae
Description: tRNA-Val
Source: RNAcentral
CAAAUUAGAGCUUGGUAAGAGUAUUUUAUUUACACUAAAAAGGAAAUUGGGAACAAUUUAAUUUGA